AUGCAAGUCGAGGGGCAGCGGGAUUGAAGCUUGCUUCAAUUGCCGGCGACCGGCGCACGGGUGAGUAACGCGUAUCCAACCUUCCGUACACUCAGGGAUAGCCUUUCGAAAGAAAGAUUAAUACCUGAUGGUAUGAUGAGAUUGCAUGAUAGCAUCAUUAAAGAUUCAUCGGUGUACGAUGGGGAUGCGUUCCAUUAGGUAGUAGGCGGGGUAACGGCCCACCUAGCCUACGAUGGAUAGGGGUUCUGAGAGGAAGGUCCCCCACAUUGGAACUGAGACACGGUCCAAACUCCUACGGGAGGCAGCAGUGAGGAAUAUUGGUCAAUGGACGAGAGUCUGAACCAGCCAAGUAGCGUGAAGGAUGAAGGUCCUACGGAUUGUAAACUUCUUUUAUAAGGGAAUAAAACCUCCCACGUGUGGGAGCUUGUAUGUACCUUAUGAAUAAGCAUCGGCUAACUCCGUGCCAGCAGCCGCGGUAAUACGGAGGAUGCGAGCGUUAUCCGGAUUUAUUGGGUUUAAAGGGAGCGCAGACGGGUCGUUAAGUCAGCUGUGAAAGUUUGGGGCUCAACCUUAAAAUUGCAGUUGAUACUGGCGUCCUUGAGUGCGGUUGAGGUGUGCGGAAUUCGUGGUGUAGCGGUGAAAUGCUUAGAUAUCACGAAGAACUCCGAUUGCGAAGGCAGCACACUAAGCCGUAACUGACGUUCAUGCUCGAAAGUGUGGGUAUCAAACAGGAUUAGAUACCCUGGUAGUCCACACGGUAAACGAUGGAUACUCGCUGUUGGCGAUAUACUGUCAGCGGCUUAGCGAAAGCGUUAAGUAUCCCACCUGGGGAGUACGCCGACAACGGUGAAACUCAAAGGAAUUGACGGGGGCCCGCACAAGCGGAGGAACAUGUGGUUUAAUUCGAUGAUACGCGAGGAACCUUACCCGGGCUUAA
Molecule: ribosomal RNA, 937 nt
Filed under: uncultured bacterium
Lineage: Bacteria
Description: bacterial SSU rRNA
Rfam family: Bacterial small subunit ribosomal RNA
Source: RNAcentral